Molecule: long non-coding RNA, 477 nt
Organism: Camelus dromedarius (Arabian camel)
Lineage: Eukaryota; Metazoa; Chordata; Mammalia; Artiodactyla; Camelidae
Exons: 3
Source: RefSeq, a predicted model, not a curated record
GCGGAAGAGGGGCAGGCGGAGGCGUCCUCAGUGGCCGCUGCAAGGAUCAACAUGCUUUGAUUUAUUGUACAUCUGACCUAAAAAUGGAUGGGAGGAAAAAAAUGCAGAGAUGAUUCAAAUCAGAGGAAAUUCUGAACAACCAAUUCCACACAGGCAUGAUAUCAUGAGGAAUUUUUCUUUCUCUUUCUGGCUUACUUCACUUAGAGUGAUGAUCUCCAGAUCCAUCCAUGUUCCUGCAAAUUGAAUUUUUUUAAUGGCUGAGUAGUAUUCCAUUGUAUAAACAUACCAUAGCUUCUUUAUCCAGUCAUCUGCCAAUGGACAUUUAGGUUGUUUCCAUGUCUUGGCUAUUGUAUAUAGUGCUGCUAUGAACAAUGGGGUGCAUGUAUCUUUUCAAAUUAGAGUUCCCUCCAGAUAUAUACCCAGAAGUGGGAUUGUUGGAUCAUAUGGUAAGCGUAUUUUUAGUUUUUUAAGGAAUCU